This 304-nucleotide ribosomal RNA is filed under the name uncultured bacterium. RNAcentral describes it as "partial 16S ribosomal RNA". It matches the Rfam family "Bacterial small subunit ribosomal RNA", at positions 509 to 807 of the family's 1533-position model. The record is from RNAcentral.
CAGCAGUCGCCGCGGUAAUACGUAGGGUGCGAGCGUUAAUCGGAAUUACUGGGCGUAAAGCGGGCGCAGACGGUUACUUAAGCAGGAUGUGAAAUCCCCGGGCUCAACCUGGGAAUUGCGUUCUGAACUGGGUGGCUAGAGUGUGUCAGAGGGGGGUAGAAUUCCACGUGUAGCAGUGAAAUGCGUAGAGAUGUGGAGGAAUACCGAUGGCGAAGGCAGCCCCCUGGGAUAGCACUGACGUUCAUGCCCGAAAGCGUGGGUAGCAAACAGGAUUAGAUACCCCAGUAGUCCCUGUCUCUUAUAC